AUCCUUUUGUAGUUUAUAAGCGUGAUGAUUGGGUUUUCACACACAUGCGUGAGAUGUGCUUCCCUCAAACCUUGUUACAACGCCAGCACAUUACCUGUCUGAUG
This 104-nucleotide small nucleolar RNA is filed under the name Microcebus murinus (gray mouse lemur). RNAcentral's name for it is "Small nucleolar RNA U13 (ENSMICG00000043397.1)". It matches the Rfam family "Small nucleolar RNA U13". Lineage: Eukaryota; Metazoa; Chordata; Mammalia; Primates; Cheirogaleidae. The record is from Rfam by way of RNAcentral.